RNAcentral lists this ribosomal RNA (119 nucleotides) under Triticum aestivum (bread wheat). Lineage: Eukaryota; Viridiplantae; Streptophyta; Magnoliopsida; Poales; Poaceae. The record is from RNAcentral.
GGAUGCGAUCAUACCAGCACUAAAGCAUCGGAUCCCAUCAGAACUCCGAAGUUAAGCGUGCUUGGGCGAGAGUAGUACUAGGAUGGGUGACCUCCUGGGAAGUCUUCGUGUUGCAUUCC